UUAAUGAUUUAUGAUGGGAGUUGAUGCUGGCAGCUUUCUUUGGCUGCAAUGUGCUCGCUUCCUAUCAAUCAUAUUCCAAACACCUGUGCACCAUCUUUUGAGGGGGGUCCUUGUUUUCACCCCCUCGAAUUCUAAUAACUACCUAUAAUGCUGAACGUGUUGUGCCGUAAGGCCUUAAUGAAAAAUACAACUUUUAACAACGGAUCUCUUGGCUCUCGCAUCGAUGAAGAACGCAGCGAAAUGCGAUAAGUAAUGUGAAUUGCAGAAUUCAGUGAAUCAUCGAAUCUUUGAACGCACCUUGCGCUCCCUGGUAUUCCGGGGAGCACGCCUGUUCGAGUGUCGCGAAAUUCUCAAGCUUGGGAUUUAUUAUGUCCCCAGUCUUGGUUGUUGGGCUUUGCCAUAUUACCUUCGUUGGAGGGGGGGGAUGGCUGGCCUUAAAAAUAUUAGCUGACCUUGAAAUGAUUAUUGGUUCUACUCAGCGUGAUAAAUAUCUGAUCGCCGAGGACAUCCCUUUGGGAUGGCCAAUUGUUGUUUGGGUUGCUUCUAAUCAUGCUCGUUUCAUGGACUUUUUCGAUCUGUGGAAUCUGCUUUUUCGACUUUUGACCUCGAAUCAGGUGGGACUACCCGCUGAACUUAAGCAUAUCAAUAAGCGGAGGAAAAGAAACUAACAAGGAUUCCCCUAGUAACGGCGAGUGAAGCGGGAAGAGCUCAAAUUUAAAAUCUGGCAACCUUUGGUUGUCCGAAUUGUAAUCUAGAGAAGCGUUUUCCGCGCUGGACUGUGUACAAGUUUCCUGGAUACGGAACAUCAUAGAGGGUGAGAAUCCCGUCCUUGACACAGACCCCCAGUGCUUUGUGAUGCGCUCUCGACGAGUCGAGUUGUUUGGGAUUGCAGCUCAAAAUGGGAGGUAAAUUCCUUCUAAAGCUAAAUAUUGGCGAGAGACCGAUAGCGAACAAGUACCGUGAGGGAAAGAUGAAAAGCACUUUGGAAAGAGAGUUAAACAGUACGUGAAAUUGUUAAAAGGGAAACGCUUGAAGUCAGUCGCGUUUGCUUUGGACUCAGCCUCACUUCGGUUUGGUGCAUUUCCUUGCAAACGGGCCAGCGUUCAUGUUGUUUGCCGGAGAAGGUGCAAGAGAAUGUGGCUCCCUUGGGAGUGUUAUAGCUCUUGCUCGCAUACGGGAAACGAUAUGGAGUGGAACAGCACGCUUCGGUGGUGCUUGCGUUGGCAUAAUGGCUUUAAACGACCCGUCUUGAAACACGGACCAAGGAGUCUAACAUGUCUGCGAGUGUUUGGGUGGAAAACCCGAGCGCGUAAUGAAAGUGAUAGCUGGGAACCCCAUCAUUGGGAGGCACCGGCGCCCCGAGCUGACCUUCUGUGACGCAUCGGAGGUAGAGCAUAUAUGUUGGGACCCGAAAGAUGGUGAACUA
Molecule: ribosomal RNA, 1426 nt
Filed under: Clavulina sprucei
Lineage: Eukaryota; Fungi; Basidiomycota; Agaricomycetes; Cantharellales; Hydnaceae
Description: eukaryotic LSU rRNA
Rfam family: Eukaryotic large subunit ribosomal RNA (bases 601-1426)
Source: RNAcentral